This 1944-nucleotide ribosomal RNA is filed under the name human gut metagenome. Its description in RNAcentral is "bacterial LSU rRNA". It matches the Rfam family "Bacterial large subunit ribosomal RNA", at positions 3 to 1983 of the family's 2925-position model. The record is from RNAcentral.
UUAAGCUAGAAAGAGCGCAGGGUGGAUGCCUUGGCACUAAGAGCCGAUGAAAGACGUGAUAAGCUGCGAAAAGCUUCGGGGAGGAGCAAAUAUCCUUUGAUCCGGAGAUCUCUGAAUGGGGAAACCUACUUGAGUGUACCUCAAGUGACGUAUGGUGAAUACAUAGCCAUACGCCGGGAACCCGGUGAACUGAAACAUCUAAGUAGCCGGAGGAAGAGAAAGAAACAUCGAUUCCGAAAGUAGCGGCGAGCGAAAUUGGAAGAGCCCAAACCGGAAUGCGUGCAUUCCGGGGUUAUGGACCACGUUAUGUGACCCGUAUGGUAAUGGAACAGUCUGGGAAGUCAGACCAGAGAGGGUGAAAGUCCCGUACAUGAAACCAGAAGGGAGCUAGUGGGAUCCAGAGUACUGCGAGACACGUGGAACCUUGCAGGAAGUCGGGGGGACCACCCCCCAAGGCUAAAUACUCCUUAGUGACCGAUAGCGCAUAGUACUGUGAAGGAAAGGUGAAAAGGACCCCGGGAGGGGAGUGAAAGAGAACCUGAAACCCUGUGUUUACAAGCUGUGGAAGCACGUUAAGGUGCGACCGCGUACUUUUUGUAGAACGGUCCGGCGAGUUGCGGAUGCUGGCAAGGUUAAGCACUAAAGGUGCGGAGCCGAAGCGAGAGCAAGUCUGAAUAGGGCGUCAAGUCAGCAUGUGCAGACCCGAAACCGGGUGAUCUAUCCAUGUCCAGGUUGAAGCGAAAGUAAAAUUUCGUGGAGGACCGAACGCACAUCCGUUGAAAAGGGUGGCGAUGAGGUGUGGAUAGGGGAGAAAUUCCAAUCGAACCCGGAGAUAGCUGGUUCUCCUCGAAAUAGCUUUAGGGCUAGCCUCGUAUUAGUCUGGUGGAGGUAGAGCACUGAAUUUCCUAGGGGGCGUCAAAGCCUACCGAAGAAUAUCAAACUCCGAAUGCCAUACAGAUGAUGUACGGGAGUCAGACGGCACGAGAUAAGUUGGGUCGUCAAAAGGGAAAGAGCCCAGACCUGCAGCUAAGGUCCCAAAGUGUGUGUUAAGUGGAAAAGGAUGUGGGAUUUCAAAGACAACUAGGAUGUUGGCUCAGAAGCAGCCACACAUUCAAAGAGUGCGUAAUAGCUCACUAGUCGAGAGGUCCUGCGCCGAAAAUGUCCGGGGCUGAAACACAACACCGAAGCUCAGGAAUGUAUUUAUACAUUGGUAGAGGAGCAUUCUUAAAGGGGCGAAGCAGUACCGAUAAGGAGCUGUGGACUUUUAAGAAGAGAGAAUGCCGGAAUGAGUAGCGAGAUGGAGGUGGGAAUCCUCCAGGCCGAAUAUCUAAGGUUUCCAGGGUAAAGCUGAUCUGCCCUGGGUAAGUCGGGGCCUAAGGCAAGGCUGAGAAGCGUAGCUGAUGGACAACAGGUUUAGAUUCCUGUACCACAUGGUAUCAGAACUGUGGGGACGCAGAGGGAUAAGAUGACCGGGGAACAGAACUCCGGGCAAGCGUAGGAGGUGUCAGGCAGGCAAAUCCGCCUGAUAAGCCAAAGACGUGACGCGGACCGAACUCAAGUAGGGAAGCAUCCGAUUCCAGCUGCCGAGAAAAGCCGCUAUUGUGUAUCAUGUGCCCGUACCGUAAACCGACACAGGUGGAUGAGGAGAGAAUCCUAAGGCCGGCGGGAGAAGCAUUGUUAAGGAACUCGGCAAAAUGACCCCGUAACUUCGGGAUAAGGGGUGCCAGAGAGAUCUGGCCGCAGAGAAUAGGCUCAAGCAACUGUUUAGCAAAAACACAGGUCUAUGCGAAACCGUAAGGUGAUGUAUAUGGGCUGACGCCUGCCCGGUGCUGGAAGGUUAAGAGGAGAGGUUAGAGCAAUCGAAGCUUUGAAUUGAAGCCCCAGUAAACGGCGGCCGUAACUAUAACGGUCCUAAGGUAGCGAAAUUCCUUGUCGGGUAAGUUC